This 648-nucleotide unclassified non-coding RNA is filed under the name uncultured Prochlorococcus sp. RNAcentral's name for it is "partial 16S-23S ribosomal RNA intergenic spacer; may also contain 16S ribosomal RNA and 23S ribosomal RNA". The stretch from base 305 to 377 matches the Rfam family "tRNA". The record is from RNAcentral. Lineage: Bacteria; Bacillati; Cyanobacteriota; Cyanophyceae; Synechococcales; Prochlorococcaceae.
UUGUGGAGGAGGACGCCGAAGGUGGGGCUAAUGACUGGGGUGAAGUCGUAACAAGGUAGCCGUACCGGAAGGUGCGGCUGGAUCACCUCCUAACAGGGAGACAACAAAAUGUUUAAUAUUAUUAUUUUGUCACCUUAGGUCGAUCGGUAUCUCACGUUUUUAAUUUAUUAAGAAUUUCAUUUCCUAAGUUUUUCUAGGUCACACCCAUUAUUUUUCCUGGGCCAUUAGCUCAGGUGGUUAGAGCGCACCCCUGAUAAGGGUGAGGUCCCUGGUUCAAGUCCAGGAUGGCCCAUAUCUCUAUGUUGGGGGUAUAGCUCAGUUGGUAGAGCGCCUGCUUUGCAAGCAGGAUGUCAGCGGUUCGAGUCCGCUUACCUCCACUGAUUACCACCUCUUCCAUAACCGGUAGAAAGGAAAUGUUUUGAGUUGUGAUCAAAUUCUGAAAGAAUCUAGCUUCCUAAUGAAAUCAUUAAGAUGCUGGACUCAUUGAAUUAAUUUCAUUGUUUUCAGAGAACCUUGACAACUGCAUAGAUUAUUUUUAAAGACAAUAAGCAUCUUUAAUGAUGCAGAUUUAUUAUUUGUGCGAAUGCAUUAAAUAACAAUUCUAUUAAGCUGAUGCUUCAAUUUUUGAAGUUAUUGGUCAAGCUACAA